GCGCGUUUCGUCUAGUGGCCCAGGACCCCGUCUAACAAGGCGGGAGACACAGGUUCGAAUCCUGUAGCGUGCACCA
RNAcentral lists this transfer RNA (76 nucleotides) under Burkholderia ubonensis. Its description in RNAcentral is "tRNA-OTHER". It matches the Rfam family "tRNA". From Rfam's summary of the family: Transfer RNA (tRNA) molecules are approximately 80 nucleotides in length. Their secondary structure includes four short double-helical elements and three loops (D, anti-codon, and T loops). Lineage: Bacteria; Pseudomonadati; Pseudomonadota; Betaproteobacteria; Burkholderiales; Burkholderiaceae. The record is from RNAcentral.